RNAcentral lists this ribosomal RNA (460 nucleotides) under uncultured bacterium. Its description in RNAcentral is "partial 16S ribosomal RNA". It matches the Rfam family "Bacterial small subunit ribosomal RNA", at positions 338 to 795 of the family's 1533-position model. The record is from RNAcentral.
CCUACGGGUGGCAGCAGUGAGGAAUAUUGGUCAAUGGACGAGAGUCUGAACCAGCCAAGUAGCGUGAAGGAUGACUGCCCUAUGGGUUGUAAACUUCUUUUAUAAAGGAAUAAAACGAGGCACGUGUGCCUUUUUGCAUGUACUUUAUGAAUAAGGAUCGGCUAACUCCGUGCCAGCAGCCGCGGUAAUACGGAGGAUCCGAGCGUUAUCCGGAUUUAUUGGGUUUAAAGGGAGCGUAGAUGGGUUGUUAAGUCAGUUGUGAAAGGUUGCGGCUCAACCGUAAAAUUGCAAUUGAUACUGGCAGUCUUGAGUACAGUUGAGGUAAGCGGAAUUCGUGGUGUAGCGGUGAAAUGCUUAGAUAUCACGAAGAACCCCGAUUGCGAAGGCAGCUUACUAAACUGUGACUGACAUUGAUGCUCGAAAGUGUGGGUAUCAAACAGGAUUAGAUACCCCUGUAGUC